Molecule: transfer RNA, 80 nt
Filed under: Paenibacillus larvae
Lineage: Bacteria; Bacillati; Bacillota; Bacilli; Caryophanales; Paenibacillaceae
Description: tRNA-Ala
Rfam family: tRNA
About the family: Transfer RNA (tRNA) molecules are approximately 80 nucleotides in length. Their secondary structure includes four short double-helical elements and three loops (D, anti-codon, and T loops).
Source: RNAcentral
GGGGCCAUAGCUCAGCUGGGAGAGCGCCUGCCUUGCAAGCAGGAGGUGUCGGGGUGUUCGCAUCCCGCUUGGCUCCACCA